AGAAUCAACGCUGGCGGCGUGCCUAACACAUGCAAGUCGAACGAGAAAGUGGAGCAAUCCAUGAGUAAAGUGGCGCACGGGUGAGUAACACGUGACUAACCUACCCUUGAGUGGGGGAUAACCUCGGGAAACCGGGCUAAUACCGCAUAAUAUCGAGAGAUCAAAGGAGCAAUUCGCUUAAGGAGGGGUCGCGGCUGAUUAGCUAGUUGGUGAGGUAAUGGCUCACCAAGGCUAUGAUCAGUA
RNAcentral lists this ribosomal RNA (243 nucleotides) under uncultured bacterium. RNAcentral describes it as "partial small subunit ribosomal RNA". It matches the Rfam family "Bacterial small subunit ribosomal RNA", at positions 26 to 285 of the family's 1533-position model. The record is from RNAcentral.